AUUGAACGCUGGCGGCAGGCUUAACACAUGCAAGUCGAGCGGGGGAAGGUAGCUUGCUACUGGACCUAGCGGCGGACGGGUGAGUAAUGCUUAGGAAUCUGCCUAUUAGUGGGGGACAACAUCUCGAAAGGGAUGCUAAUACCGCAUACGUCCUACGGGAGAAAGCAGGGGAUCUUCGGACCUUGCGCUAAUAGAUGAGCCUAAGUCGGAUUAGCUAGUUGGUGGGGUAAAGGCCUACCAAGGCGACGAUCUGUAGCGGGUCUGAGAGGAUGAUCCGCCACACUGGGACUGAGACACGGCCCAGACUCCUACGGGAGGCAGCAGUGGGGAAUAUUGGACAAUGGGGGGAACCCUGAUCCAGCCAUGCCGCGUGUGUGAAGAAGGCCUUAUGGUUGUAAAGCACUUUAAGCGAGGAGGAGGCUACUUUAGUUAAUACCUAGAGAUAGUGGACGUUACUCGCAGAAUAAGCACCGGCUAACUCUGUGCCAGCAGCCGCGGUAAUACAGAGGGUGCGAGCGUUAAUCGGAUUUACUGGGCGUAAAGCGUGCGUAGGCGGCUUAUUAAGUCGGAUGUGAAAUCCCCGAGCUUAACUUGGGAAUUGCA
Molecule: ribosomal RNA, 603 nt
Filed under: Acinetobacter baumannii OIFC032
Lineage: Bacteria; Pseudomonadati; Pseudomonadota; Gammaproteobacteria; Moraxellales; Moraxellaceae
Description: bacterial SSU rRNA
Rfam family: Bacterial small subunit ribosomal RNA
Source: RNAcentral